RNAcentral lists this ribosomal RNA (497 nucleotides) under uncultured bacterium. RNAcentral describes it as "partial 16S ribosomal RNA". It matches the Rfam family "Bacterial small subunit ribosomal RNA", at positions 28 to 507 of the family's 1533-position model. The record is from RNAcentral.
GAUGAACGCUGGCGGCGUGCCUAAUACAUGCAAGUCGAGCGAACAGACGAGGAGCUUGCUCCUCUGUCGUUAGCGGCGGGCGGGUGUGAAACAUGUGUAUAACCCACCUAUCUUACUGGUAUAAUCUCGGGAAACCGGAGCUAAUACCGUAGAAUAUACUGAAGCGUAGUGUUCAUUAGUGAGAGUCGGCUGUGCUGGCUGGUCUAGAUGCAUCCGAGCCGGAUUAGCUGGUUGGUAAGGUAACGGCUUACCAAGGCAACGAGGCGUAGCCGACCUGAGAGGGUGGUCGGCCACACUGGAACUGGGACGCGGUCCAGGGUCCUGCGGGAGGGAGCAGUAGGGAAUCUUACGCAAUGGGCGAGAGCCUGGCGGAGCAGGGGGGCGUGAGUGAUGACGGUCUUCGGUUCGUAAAGCUCUGUUAUUAGGGAAGAACAGCUGUGUAAGUAAACAUGCACGUCUUGACGGUACCGGAUAAGAAAGCCCCGGCUAACUACGUG